ACUACGGGUGGCAGCAGUGAGGAAUAUUUGUCAAUGGACGAGAGUCUGAACCAGCCAAGUAGCGUGAAGGAUGACUGCCCUAUGGGUUGUAAACUUCUUUUAUAUGGGAAUAAAAUGUUCCACGUGUGGGAUUUUGUAUGUACCAUAUGAAUAAGGAUCGGCUAACUCCGUGCCAGCAGCUGCGGUAAUACGGAGGAUCCGAGCGUUAUCCGGAUUUAUUGGGUUUAAAGGAAGAGUCGGUGGAUUGUUAAGUCAGUUGUGAAAGUUGGCGGCUCAACCGUAAAAGUGCAGUUGAAACUGGCAGUCUUGAGUACAGUAGAGGUGGGCGGAAUUCGUGGUGUAGCGGUGAAAUGCUUAGAUAUCACGAAGAACUCCGAUUGCGAAGGCAGCUCACUGGACUGCAACUGACACUGAGGCUCGAAAGUGUGGGUAGCAAACAGGAUUAGAUACCCCAGUAGUC
RNAcentral lists this ribosomal RNA (460 nucleotides) under uncultured bacterium. Its description in RNAcentral is "partial 16S ribosomal RNA". It matches the Rfam family "Bacterial small subunit ribosomal RNA", at positions 338 to 795 of the family's 1533-position model. The record is from RNAcentral.